Molecule: ribosomal RNA, 426 nt
Filed under: Physocyclus mexicanus
Lineage: Eukaryota; Metazoa; Arthropoda; Arachnida; Araneae; Pholcidae
Description: partial 18S ribosomal RNA
Rfam family: Eukaryotic small subunit ribosomal RNA
Source: RNAcentral
GGGGGAGGUAGUGACGAAAAAUAACGAUACGGGACUCUCUCGAGACCCCGUAAUCGGAAUGAGCACGGCCUAAAUCCUCUAACGAGGACCCAUUGGAGGGCAAGUCUGGUGCCAGCAGCCGCGGUAAUUCCAGCUCCAAUAGCGUAUAUUAAAGUUGUUGCGGUUAAAAAGCUCGUAGUUGGAUCUCAGUUCCAGACGGGCGGUCCGCCUAACGGCGGCCACUGCCCGGCCUGAACAACCGGCCGGUUUCCCUAGAUGGCCUUCGCCGGUUGUCCUGGGUGACCGGCGCGUUUACUUUGAAAAAAUUAGAGUGCUCAAAGCAGGCAAGCGUCAGCCUGGAUAGUGGUGCAUGGAAUAAUGGAAGAGGACCUCGGUUCUAUUCUGUUGGUCUUCGGAACACGAGGUAAUGAUUAAGAGGGACACUCC